AUUGAACGCUGGCGGCAGGCCUAACACAUGCAAGUCGAGCGGAGCGGCGGACGGGUGAGUAAUGCGUAGGAAUCUGCCUGGUAGUGGGGGAUAACGUCAGGAAACGGGCGCUAAUACCGCAUACUAUCAGAUAAGCCUAGGUCGGAUUAGCUAGUUGGUGGGGUAAAGGCCUACCAAGGCGACGAUCCGUAACUGGUCUGAGAGGAUGAUCAGCCACACUGGAACUGAGACACGGUCCAGACUCCUACGGGAGGCAGCAGUGGGGAAUAUUGGACAAUGGGCGCAAGCCUGAUCCAGCCAUGCCGCGUGUGUGAAGAAGGUCUUCGGAUUGUAAAGCACUUUAAGUUGGGAGGCGUUACCAACAGAAUAAGCACCGGCUAACUUCGUGCCAGCCGCCGCGGUAAUUC
RNAcentral lists this ribosomal RNA (407 nucleotides) under uncultured bacterium. RNAcentral's name for it is "partial 16S ribosomal RNA". It matches the Rfam family "Bacterial small subunit ribosomal RNA", at positions 30 to 526 of the family's 1533-position model. The record is from RNAcentral.